AGGACGAACGCUGGCGGCGUGCUUAACACAUGCAAGUCGAGCGGAAAGGCCCUUCGGGGUACUCGAGCGGCGAACGGGUGAGUAACACGUGAGCAACCUGCCCUUAGCUUCGGGAUAGCUCCGGGAAACCGGAAUUAAUACCGAAUAUGAUUUUGCUGACAUCAGCAGAAGUGGAAAGUUUUUCGGCUAGGGAUGGACUCGCGGCCUAUCAGCUAGUUGGUGGGAUAACGGCCCACCAAGGCGACGACGGGUA
RNAcentral lists this ribosomal RNA (253 nucleotides) under uncultured bacterium. RNAcentral's name for it is "partial small subunit ribosomal RNA". It matches the Rfam family "Bacterial small subunit ribosomal RNA", at positions 26 to 285 of the family's 1533-position model. The record is from RNAcentral.